RNAcentral lists this non-coding RNA (24 nucleotides) under Mus musculus (house mouse). The record is from RNAcentral. Lineage: Eukaryota; Metazoa; Chordata; Mammalia; Rodentia; Muridae.
UUGGUCGCAGUUGAAUGCUGUGUA